AUUUACUUAAUAUAUUAAGUAUAACUGACUUCCAAUCAGUAAGUUUGUAAAACAAAGUAAGUA
Molecule: transfer RNA, 63 nt
Filed under: Balta vilis
Lineage: Eukaryota; Metazoa; Arthropoda; Insecta; Blattodea; Pseudophyllodromiidae
Description: tRNA-Gly
Source: RNAcentral